Gallus gallus (chicken) is the source of this 433-nucleotide long non-coding RNA. NCBI's taxonomy places the organism in Eukaryota, Metazoa, Chordata, Aves, Galliformes, Phasianidae. The record is from Ensembl.
GAACAUCAAAAGGAAGUUCAGUCUCAGAAAAGUUACAGACAGGAAUGUAUAGGACCAGAGUGCAGACAACUACUGACCCAAUGAAGUCACCUGGAAUUGCUUCACUGCUUACGGUAUCCUUUUUCCAGAAGACACUGGACAAACUGAGCUGUUGCACUGGAGUGGAAGGACACCACUGGCUCCAAGUGGUACAAUCUGUGGAGACUCAGUGCUUCAAAAAGUGAAGUCCAAAAAGCUCAAUGAUGACCAUUGCUUUCUUCACUGUGGACCUUCAGAUGUUUAAAAUGCUGUGCCCACAGCCAUCAUCCUGCACCCCACUAAUAGCAGCCUGGGCCAGGGCCUCUAAUCCCAGAGGGAGUGUACUGAGAACUAUACUGCUGUGUGCACCGUGACCCAAGAGUGACAAGGAUGUGAAUCCUGUGCAUAGCUGACC